UACAUGUGGGGCAAGCGUUGUUCGGAAUUACUGGGCAUAAAGGGUGCGUAGGUGGCUUGUUAAGUCAGGGGUGAAAGUUUUCGGCCCAACCGGAAAAUGGCCUUUGAUACUGGCGAGCUCGAGUGCGUGAGGGGUAACCGGAACGAGCAGUGUAGCGGUGAAAUGCGUAGAUAUUGCUCGGAAGGCCAACGGCGAAGGCAGGUUACUGGUACGCAACUGACACUGAGGCACGAAAGCGCGGGGAGCAAACAGG
RNAcentral lists this ribosomal RNA (253 nucleotides) under uncultured bacterium. Its description in RNAcentral is "partial 16S ribosomal RNA". It matches the Rfam family "Bacterial small subunit ribosomal RNA", at positions 524 to 776 of the family's 1533-position model. The record is from RNAcentral.